Molecule: ribosomal RNA, 310 nt
Filed under: uncultured bacterium
Lineage: Bacteria
Description: bacterial SSU rRNA
Rfam family: Bacterial small subunit ribosomal RNA
Source: RNAcentral
AUUGAACGCUGGCGGCAUGCCUAACACAUGCAAGUCGAACGGAAACGAUGGGAGCUUGCUCCCAGGCGUCGAGUGGCGGACGGGUGAGUAAUACUUAGGAAUCUGCCCAUUAGUGGGGGACAACUCGGGGAAACUCGAGCUAAUACCGCAUACGCCCUACGGGGGAAAGCGGAGGACCUUUCGGGGCUUCGCGCUAAUGGGUGAGCCUAAGUCGGAUUAGCUAGUUGGUGGGGUAAAGGCCUACCAAGGCGACGAUCCGUAGCUGGUCUGAGAGGACGAUCAGCCACACUGGGACUGAGACACGGCCCAG